AAGUCACUUUCCUUCUAUCCAUAAAUCUUCCACCAUGUGGCUGUGCUGGAGUCUCUCUGAGCCUACUCUGGCUUGGAAGACUGCCUGAUUUGCUAAUCAUUCUUUGCUCAAAUUAAACUCUGUUAAAUUUAGUUAGUCCAGGGUUUUUUUUUUGUUUGUUUUUUUAAAAUCAAAUCUUCAGUGACUCUUUAUGGUGGUCAAUUAUGGCCAGGAUGGAUAGGAGACUACCAUGCAGAAAAGUAUGAGAGAGACUUGAAAACCAUGCAGUGAUCUUUAAAACCCUCUGAAUAUGUAUUUUCAAAUGCUGCUUUCAUAAGUCAUUAACCAUAAUUUAUUGAAUGUGUACUAUGUGUAUGGCAUUGUACUAGAUCCUUUAUAAACCAUAUAGAAUUUUUAUAGUAACCUUGAAAAGUAUGUGUUAUUAUAUCCACUGUACAUAUUGGGGGGACUGGAGGCUUAGAAAGUGGAAGUCGAGGCUUGCACACACUUAUUAUGAAAGGCCAGCUGGCAUGAUAGUGGUUCACCCUGAACAGCAGAUGGAACUGAUAACAGGCCCAUUAAAUUAUGGGCCAAAUAGUUUGCAACCUUAAGAAAUCCCUGUGAAAUGUUCAUAGAAUAUUAACUUCUUAUCUUAUCAAAGAAAAUUUUAACCCAUUGAAAUAUAAGAUUUGUGUUAGGGUCUGAAUGGCCAACCAUUUUUUUUUUUCUGUAUGUGUUUGAGAAUAAUGUGUUUUGCAAUUUUUACAUGCAGUAUUUUAUAUAAGCUUAUGGUACAGCUUGUUUAUUGUAUAAUUUAAAACUUCCUUGUCCUUACUAACUUUUGUCUGUUUAUUCUAUUGCUAAAAGUGGUAUAGUAAAUACACUACAAUAAUGCAUUUGUCAAUUUAUCUUUAGUUAUGUCACUUUCUGCUUCAUAUAUUUUGAGACCAUGUUAUUAGGUACAUAAAAUAUAAUAAUUAUAUUUUUUUCUGGCAAACUGAAGCUUAUUAUAAAUGACCCUCUUUGUUGCGAGUAAUGCCUUUUGCAUUUACAACUGAUGGAGACAGGACGCAGCCAAAAGUCCCUGGUGAAACCCCGCCUUCAAGCCUAAAACAGCCUGAAGGAUGAAAAACCAGACUUCUGGUGCCUGAUGAAGCCUGCCCUUUCCUGACUGAUUCUAAAUAAUGCCUACCUGCCAACUGGGAAGGCAGGGUGGAGCCUUCGGAAAUUCAUGACCUUCGCAGGGGAGAGGAGCUUGGCCUCUCCUAUUCCUGUGUGGUGACCUGGGAUUCAAACUGUGAGGCGGAAAACCUGCUAGCAGGAGUCUCGCUUUGCUGAGAGUUAUUUUUCUUUUCCUUUUUAUCCAAUAAAUUCCGUCUUCUCACGCUUCUAUGUGUCUGUGACCCUACUCUUUCCUGGUCGUGUGACAAGAGCCUGGUUUUAGCUGACCUAAGAAGAAAGUUCUGCAACAUUUUUGGUGUCCAGACGUGAGUCUUGAGGAAGGACAAGUACAGACAAUCACCAGGAACUAAGGAACAAGAAGCAUCCAACCCUGCAUCUGUGGGUUUCCUGAGGUGACUCUCAAUUGUCAUAGGGGUGAAGAGUGAGUGAGGAAACCCUUGGAGCACUUGUUUGCUUCACAGACAUCCUGACCUCCUUUCAACUGUAAAGACUUAGUCAGAGGACGGCGGCUCCCUCAGCCUCAUUCUGCAGUUCCAAUGACACUUUUUACAAAGGCUCUGUACUUGUCUGAUUCUUAAAUAUUCCAGUUUUUGAACUUUGCUGCAGUAGUUGUAUUCGAAAUGGGUUAAUUGUCUCAUUUUCUUUUUAAUGCCUACUCUUUCAAGGCUCAAAUCUUGAAUAGGUCAAAAAGAGCAAGAGGAAAAUGUCAGAGAAUGGAGAAAGGCAAAUACAGAGAAGCAGUGUGAACAUCCACCCGGCGAGGUGACCUGAUGGGUUUCACAGAGCCAAGCAGAAAAGGAGCACAGGUGACCUUGGCAGGAAGGCAUGCAUGGGAGAGCAGGUCUGCACUCUGGGACACCAGCCUCAACAGAAUACGAGUUUUGAAUUUUUGAAUUGCUGUUAAAACUUUCAUCAUGAACACUGAAGUGAGUGAAAAGAGACUUUUGCAGUCAUUUUUUUGCUGGCUGCAGAUGACAGUGACACCCUGGGAGUUGAGAAAUGCUUGUAAGAUGGAAGGAGGCUGUGUCCCUGAAUGAUCACCUGGAAGAGAGCCACCUUAGCCAAUGAAACUCCUGCUAUGAAUGUUUGCUGAGCAAGAAAUAUACUUACUGCUUUAUAUGCCUUUGAAGCUAUAGGUUCAUAUUGUUACCACAAUUUAAAGUGCUAUAAUAAAAAGAGUUCAGGAAGCAGGCACAUGGAAGCAAUAAGAGCAACAAACAUUUACACAGGUCCCUGGACCAUGAAGGGCCACAUCCAAGGAGCUACCCCAGGAGGCCUCUCAUUUGCAUUUGUCCCCGCUAAUGCAGGACAGAGAUCAUGGAAGUUGGGCCCGACUGGAUGAGAUUUGGGGGUCUUUGGAAGUGGAGAAUGUGUUUGCCCUGGGGAAGAGAGGUGAUGUCUAGGAGACCUCUUCACUCAGGGCAAGCUCUAUGACCUGCUUUGACUCCAGAAUGUGGUAGAAGUGGCAUCACAUAAAUUGCAGAGCCUAGGCUUCAAGAGACCUUGCAACUUGCCUCUCACUGACUUGAAGUGCUCCCAUCAGAGCAUCUUGUAAGGAGCAGGUGGAGCAUGUGGACAAGCCAUCCCCACCAGCCCCUGAGACAUGUGAGAGAGGCCAGAACAGGCCAUCCGGACCCCACUGUGCUGGUGGAUGAGACAGCAGAAGGAAUAUCAACCUACCAACAGAAUCCUGAGAAAUGCUCACUCUUACUUCAAGCUGCUGCAUUUUGAUGUUAUGAAACCAUAAAUAACUUAUGAAGUCAUCUUUGCUGACUUAAAGUUUUCCAUAACUUUAUUAUAACAUAUCAAAAUUAUGAAAAAUGUGAAAAGUAGAAAACUGAUGAAUUUUGCUUCUUCAUAUGGUCUUUAAGAAUCUCAAAGGCACUGAAGUUUUUUAUCUUUUCUGUCUUAGAAUAAAAAACCUUGAAUGAAAAUCUGCUUCUUGGAAAAGCAGCAAGGUUUAUGCAGAGGCAAUCUGGUAUUUGUGUGCACUGGCAGCUGAUCAUACCCAGCAUGCACGCACUCUCAGGGCAGAGUCUGAUGCCCCACAUAAUGGGGCAUGGUAAGGACUCCCAUGUCCUUGAGAUAAAAUGAUAAGGAAAAUACACACUGCUAUUAGAAUAACAGGCCCAGCUUCUGCACAUUUUAAUUCCCAAAGUUUUCAUGAAAGACAAUGAUUUUUUGGUACCAUGUUUAACUCUACAAGAAUCAGUAGUGAAAACUAAAAAUGAUACUUUGUGAAAGUUCAUUAAUUUUGUUUUCAGCCAGUGGUGGCCUUGGUCAGAUAGAAUCAAAUCUAUGAUACUUUUUAUCAGAAAUGCUUAUACUGUGUACAAACCCAAAGUGAUGGCUUUCAAAGAUUGAAUUUGAUUAUUUUCUGUAUGGUGCAGAUGAAAAAUUACUACACAGGAGAAGGUGGGUUGGAGGUGCUCACGAGUAACCAGGAAACAGUCUGAAGUUUUUCUGAUACUUCUCCUUGGUCCAACCAAAUGUGAGAUAUAAACACAAACUUGGGAUUCCGUUCUUAUGUUUUGGUUGUUUCAGUCUUUACAGAUGUAUCGAAAGGCUGUCCAAAAAUGUCUGACUUCUGUAGUGUGCCUUCGUAGCACUAGAGGGUUCUGCAGCUGUGAAACUGAAGGCAUUGGCAAGAAGCCCUCCAUCUUCAAACCACUUUCUGCUAAGGUGUGGCUCUAUAAAACCACUAUGAGCUGGGCUUCACUGAGACUGAGUUGUUUCAGUAGGAUCUUCCGGAAAAACAUGUUCCCUCCUUUACCUGGGUUGUCAUUCUGAGAACAAUCACACCUCCAAUUUUGGCUUACUAAGCAAUAGCGUUUUAAUGAUUUUAAGCCAGGAUUUGCUCCUCCUUUCCUCAGUAUGAGAGCUUAACCACUGGAGGAACCAAGAAUUCAUGCUGGUUGGGUUCUGAUUCCACUUUAACUUACUGUAUAGCCUCAUCCCUUGUUUUUCUGGAGAUUCUCUUUUUCUGCUUCACUGAUUUAUAUUUACAUUAAAAUCAAAUGAGGCCAUGUUUCUGAAAUCACAUUGUCCCUACAUGGUCAUUACAAUGAGUCUGUAAUGUGACUGAAAGACAGCCAUGGAUACAGGUAGAGGAUAUCAGGCAAUUGAAUGCUCAUCAAGCAUUCAAUUCAGGGCAAAUGGCAUAAGGUAUGCAGUUGGCCUCUUCUGAUAUCUGUGUCUUAAUCCUUUCUUUAGCCUCUGUUUUCUGGACCAAGGCUAAGAUAUUUUCUGGGCACAGUGGCUCAUGCCUAUAAUCCCAGCACUCUGGGAGGCCAAGGUGGGAGGAUUUCUUCAGCCCAGGAGUUCGAGACCAGCCUGGGGAACAUAGGAGACCUCAUUCCUACAAAUAAUAAAAAAAAUUAGCCAGCUCUGGUGGCGUGUGCUUAUUGGUCUCAGCUACUUGGGAGGCUGAGGUGGGAGGACUGCUUGAGCCCAGAAGAUCGCAGCUGCAUUGAGCCAUGAUUGUGCCACUGAACCCUAGCCUGAGCAACAGAGCAAGGCCUUAUCUCAAAAAAAAAAAAAAAUUCUGAGCCUUCUAAUUUUUUUUUUCUUUAAUUAACUUUCUGUAAGCCCAGCAAGUAAAUAAAACACUUAUUUUAUGAAGCAUCUAGUUGCUUUUAGGGGAAGGGACAUCCUCCGCAUAGUAUCUAGGCCAGCUCACUUUCUUCUCCUUACUGUUGAUUUACUCUCUGCCAUUGAAUCUUCUGUGCCAAUGUUGGAUUAAUGUUUCCGGGCCCUACUUUCAUCAUGCUCCUCUGUAUUAUCACCUGUUUUGGUUUACAGCAAUGAUUUUUAAGGUAAGGCAUGGUGUGUCCAUCAUAGUCACAUGGGAACUUUUUCAAGCCAUAUUAAAAAUGUCCCCCAUUCAUCAUUCUGCCCCUGGAACAGUGUGUGCAGUUGGGACCUUCAAGUAAAUCUACUUUGUUGAAACCCACUGAUCAGCAUGGUGUAUUUCAUAACUCUUUGACUUACAUUCAAGAAAUUCCUUAACCUGAACUCCAUUUUACUCUUUUUUUCAUUCAUUCAAAUUAAGAAUAUUGCCUGAACAUGAAUUAUCUGCUAGACGUUUUUCUAGGUGCAGGAGGAGUAAGGAUGAACAUAACUAGCCAUAACUAUAGCUAUCAAUUGUGGAGUGUCUGUUAUGUGCCAGGCACUUUUAAGUGACCUACUCGAUUUACUUGCAUGACAAACUGUGAGGAAAAGCCCAAUAUUAUCCCCUAUUAACAGAUGAGGAAACUGAAGCACAAACAGCAUGAAUAGUUUGUUCCAGAUUGCAUCAUAAGAGGCACAGCCAGCUUUCCUACCAAAGCAGCCCUGGCCCAGAGUCCGUACUCCCUCCUCCCCUGCCUCUGCCUGGUGGAUAAGGUCACCCUGGCCUUGUGGAACUUAUGCUCUAGUGGGGACAAAUAGUUAUAGAGAAUGACCGAUGUUACUAAGAAAAUAAAAGCUGGUAAGAAAACAGAAGCACUGAGGAGGUGACUGAAGUGAGCAUUUAUAAUUUUAUGUUAUAUCCAUUGUAAAAUAUAAGUUUAGCUUUCUCAUACCAGAAGCAGGGCUCAGUCCACCCUUGACUCAGUUUCCAAUACUGUUCCCCAUCAGAAUGGCUCUUGCUGGUGGCCAGAAGUAAAACUUAGAAAUAUCUCUCUCAGAGACACCUAAGCAGGCUGGGCUCCCCGGUUUCCUGUUGCUUCCUUUAAAGAAGCUCUUCAGACAUCUGCACAAGAACUCAAAGUGACCACCUCUCAGCCCAGCAUGACCUACUGGAACUAAUGCCUGCUUGCUUUCAACCUACCAAUUAAAGCUCCCCAGGAAACCUGUUUAGAUAACACCCUGGACCCAAGAAAGGUGCUGGGCCAUGGGUUUCUUCUCUCUCUCCCUAUCUGUGCUCCCUGACCCCCUGUGUGUGUGUGGUCUCUAGGCUUGCCUUCUAUCCCUGAGGGUCUGUAAAUACUAAAAACACUUAAACUUUCAUAUUGUAGUUGUGUCUUUGAAGCCAGGUCCCCAUCCCGUACCUUGAGGGCAAGGCCUCCUGGAAGGGACCCAUGUAGGUGGAUCCCCUGCUGUCCAGGCCUCUUAGCUGCUGGGGUAGUGACCAGUUAAGUGGAUAGAGUUUCAUUCAAAACAAUAAUCAUUCAACUGUAUCUCACAUCAAACCUCUGCUCUAGUUUAUGUAUCUACUUUAUGUUCUUAGAAGACUGUGCAAACACAUUGUCUUUUUUGAGUACCUGUCUUGUCCUAGGUACUCUGCUUGGUACGGGGAGAGACGAAUCUUCUGUCUUCAGGGGCUUCCACUCCAGCAGGGAGAACAUGACUAAUAGUGACUGCCUGCUGCUGUAGGUAAUAAGUGGCUCCCACUAGGCCCUCCAUUUGGUGGCCCCCUGUCCCUCUCACUGGUGGAAGCCUACCUGUCCUCUAAGGACCAGCUCACUAAUGUCCUAGAUCCUCACGGACCAGAUUGCUUUUCUCAGAACUGAAGAGCACUUACUAAUGGCACCUCUUGUCAUAUGCCAUCCCAGGAUUUGAAUUUUUUUUUUUUUUCUGUCUUGUGGCCCAAAUAAAUCCUGAACUCCUCGAGGGCUGGGAGUGUAUCUAGCAGUUUCCUUAUACUGGACUAAUCAGAUGCUGACUAGGUAGCAGUGAGAAAAAUCUAGAAAUUCCCUUUUAGCCACAUCGACUUACACGAGGGGAUGUGUGUAAGGUACUAUAGCUCUUUAAACAAGAGGUGGUCUCGUUUGAAGGGUGGAUUGAUGUGGGUGUUCAAAUGAUGUCACAAGUGGCUGGUUUCUCUGUCUCCAUUUCUUUUUUUUUUGGCUCCAUUUCCAAAUUUCCCAGAUAGCACAGCAAGUUGGCCCCAGCAGCUCUAGACACUCCAUCUUCUCAGGGCAUAGCCAACACAAUAAAAUAUUUCAAGUUCCUGAAAGAUAGCUGAAAUAAGCCCUAGAAGUUUCUGGAUUGGGAGCAGAGCCAAACCUGCCAGCUCACAUAGAUGAGGGCAGGGAAUAGGGUGUCUCACGAUCACAGUGUCCUGCCUUCUGAUUUGCCUGGGACUGUCCUGUUUUGGCACCAAAAAUAUCUGCAUCCUAGGAAACCCUCAGGUCCUGGGCAAAUUCAGACAGUGACUUGCCCUAUCAGAAGCAAAGCAAGGUGCCAUUACCUGAGGUGGGCAAAUUCAGACAGUGACUUGCCCUAUCAGAAGCAAAGCAAGGUUGCCAUUACCUGAGGUGGGCAAAUGGAGGCUGGGUGGCCAGUGAGUGACCAAUAACCCCAGCAUUGGAGAGAGUGGAGCAGCCCUUCAAGAAGUUCCAACCUCUGCCCAGGACUGGUUUUACCAACUUCACUAGGCUUAGAAUCGUAGGAAGUCUAUUUGGGACUUGCGAGUCUCACGUAUUCCUGCCUAAAUGUUUAUGGAUACCUGUUUAGAGCUGAAAUCUUUUCAGCUCCCAUAAUAUGAGGGAAUUAGGUCUCAAAGAAGAUCAUGUAUUUUGAUCAGACCUUAUAGCUGAGCAGUGGAAAGAAAAAAAAUCAGUGUGAGAUCUCCCAGGGUUCCGCAGGAGUGGCUUCCUUAGUCCAACUGGCAGCCUAUCCUGGAAUAUUGCCUGGGAGAGAGGUUAGUUGCUUUUCCUGGUGCUAGGAACUGAAUGGUUUUACAUAUUGAUCAAUGAAAAUACUUAUUUGGCCUACAAUAGGUGCAAAAAUACUGCUAAUUACUAACAGUAUCUCUUCUUUGCUGCGUGCCAGACACUCCACUGGGCAUUAUGCAGUUAAUAUGUACCAUGAAUUUCCCGUGGUUAGCAAUGAUGUCAGGCAUAGAAAAGACAUGAAAUUAUGAUGUCAAAUGAAUAAACUGGAAAAAGGAAUUUCUUGAAUUUUCUCCAGCUGUCCUAAGAAUGUAUCUAUACUUUGAUCCUGGCCUACCUUUUCAACAUCUAAACUUUAUUCCCCCAAGCUUCUAGAUAUUCAAAGUUAAGUAUUAAAUAAAAUCAGUAAAUAUAUACAAGCUUGUUUGGCCAUUCUGAAUAAGGUUAUAUUUCCACCACACAAUCUCCAAAUUCUCUAGCAGAAGGGAUCAGUAUGUUAUAGAUACCCCCUUUCCUUCCCUCCCUGGCAAGCCACCACAUCUGUUAUGGGUACUCAAUGCAGUGGCUGCACCUGGGCCUCACUCAUUAAGCAGUUGUUGAUUGAGUGACUGAAUUGAAUGCCUGAUGAGCUCGCAAGUAAGAUUCAGACUGUGCCUGCAAACUAAUAGGAUCCCUCCGCUUUUUAUUCACUACUGCUGAGGUAGAUCUCAGGCCAGCCUGAAGUUUAGGUCUACUGAGAAAUAAUAAGCCUCAAAAAUCGAGCUUUGCUUCACCCAGUCUCCCAGUAAACACUAAGAAAUGUUCACAUUAUUUACACAUCCUAGACUGCCUGUCUUAUGGACCAAAUGUUUGUGUUCUCCCCGCAAUUUAUACAUUGGAAUCCUAACCCUCAAUGUAAUAGCAUUAGGUGCUGGGGUCUUUGGGAGGUGAUUGGCUAAUGGACCUGGAGCCCUCAUGAUGGGAUGAGUCCCCUUAUCAGAAGAGACCUGAGAAGGCUUGCUUCCUCUCCCUGUGCUCUUCAUGAUGUGAAGACACAAGAAGACAGCCAUCUGUGGGCCAGGAAGAGGUCCUCACUGGAACCCAACCAUGCUGGCACCCCAAUCUUGAAUUUCUAGCUUCAAGAACUUGGGAAAUAAAUGUAAGCCAGCCAGCUUAUGGAUUUGUUACAGCAGCCUAAGCUAAGUCAGAGUCUCUAGAACAGCUGGUCUGGGGCAGCGGUGAAGGGAGGUGGGUGGGCAUAUGACCCUGCCCUGCACAUGAAUGGCAAAGGCAACUGGAGAGCCUCUCCCUUUUGGUGAGAUCCCCAGUCCACAAGGGCAUGUUCAUCCAUAGCUUUACUUCCCGAAGCAAAUUCUGGUUCCUGGGGCCUGUGCCUCCAUAGAUGGCAUGAUCUGCAGCCUCCUGUGGUAAUUUACCCUCUUCCUAAAUUUCUGAGUCUUCACAUUUAAGCAAUCCUAGUUAGAUAUCCUCUACCUGUAUCCAUGGCUGUCUUUCAGUCACAUUACAGACUCAUUGUGAUGACCAUGUAGGGACAAUGUGAUUUCAGAAACAUGGCCUCAUUUGAUUUUAAUGUAAAUAUAAAUCAGUGAAGCAGAAAAAGAGAAUCUCCAGAAAAACAAGGGAUGAGGCUGUACAGCAAGUUAAAGUGGAAUCAGAACCCAACUGUAGUCCAUUAUUUGUUUCAAUCCUGCUCUUUUCUACCAUAUCACCCAGUUUCCAAAUCGUUCAGCAAAUUGCCAUGGUCAAUGGGAUUAACCUUUCCCUUUUAUUCUCAGGAAAUCUCCCUUGUCCAUUUUGCAAGACUGUGUGAUUCUUUCUACUGUUACAAGGAAUAAAAGCCUUCCUAAAAAGGUCUUUGGUGCCUUUAUUAUUUUACGGAUCAUUUCUGAGGGAAUUAUUGAACUUCAUUAUGUAACCACCCCUUGGGUUCACCUUGCCCACUGCCUAGACAGAGCCAAUUUAUCCAGACAGGAGAAUUGCAAUGGAGAAAGAGUAAUUC
RNAcentral lists this long non-coding RNA (9756 nucleotides) under Homo sapiens (human). RNAcentral describes it as "HSALNT0136838". Lineage: Eukaryota; Metazoa; Chordata; Mammalia; Primates; Hominidae. The record is from RNAcentral.